This is a small nucleolar RNA of Mastomys coucha (southern multimammate mouse), 145 nucleotides long. RefSeq annotates it as small nucleolar RNA SNORA48. Lineage: Eukaryota; Metazoa; Chordata; Mammalia; Rodentia; Muridae. The transcript has a single exon. The record is from RefSeq and is a predicted model, not a curated record.
AACCCCUGACUAAUGGGCAAAGAGACACCUCAUUGGUGGUGUUGUCCUUCUAUCAGUGAGGGGCAGAGCAGUUGGCAGUCCUUUGUUUAUCCUAGCUUGAUUCCUGGUUUGGUGACCAAAGCUUUUUUAUGCCUAGGACUCAUAA